RNAcentral lists this long non-coding RNA (948 nucleotides) under Ricinus communis (castor bean). RNAcentral describes it as "long non-coding RNA (RCOM_LNC003145)". Lineage: Eukaryota; Viridiplantae; Streptophyta; Magnoliopsida; Malpighiales; Euphorbiaceae. The record is from RNAcentral.
AAAAUAACCAAUAAAAGCCCCAAGGCAUAAGCAAAAUAAAAAGUAACCAAUAAACGAAGCCCUAUAGAUUGCCAAUACCAAUUUCUGCAACAACACAUAUAGGUGCAAACAUUUUAAUUUUCCAGCUGCAUUUAAUCAUAUUUAGAAACAGAAUUCUGUCAGUUUAAGACUCUGAGUCCAUAUACCAUAUGAAUUAUAAAAAAUGGCUUACAAAAAAUCAACUAUCAGAUCAAUUGAUCUUAUGAAUUUUAGUUUCUCUCCAGAUGAAUAUAGAUAAAAAUAAAAUAAAAUAGUGAAAUUACCACAGCCAAUUCAUAUCAAAACAAGCUGCCUAUGAGAUAAAGCAGUAGUAACUAACAUCAACAGGAAGAGAGACAGGCGCUGCGAGCUGUUGUAUCUUUUAAAAAGAAAACCCAUAAACUGUUUCAAUUAAUAAACUCAAAUUGAGAUGGUACUUAGUGUUCGACGUGGUGGCGCUGCGAGCUGGUGAAGGAGGAAUGCAGGCGCUAAAAAAAUAAUCAAACCAUGACGAGAGCUGCAAAAUGGUUUAGACAAAAUGGCGGAGAAGAGAGUCGCGCAUCAAAAAAUAAUGACAGCAGAGAGAGAGAGAAAUGGAGGAGUCCGUGACGGUGGACGGAGCAGAAGUUGGCGACGACAGUUAAGGAUUUGGAAGAUUACGGGUUUUGGGAAUUAGGAAAAUGCAGGAUUAGAGAUUUUGGUAAAAGUUAUGAAAAGGAAGAGAGUGGGAACAAGAAUGAAUUUACUUACAAUUCUGUGGUCGCUAGGUGGUUCCGAUCUACUAAGUGAAAAAGCAGGCCUGUUGUCAUUUCACUUAAUGCUAUUUAUGACCAAUCGACACAUGGUCUCUUGUUUUAAGUUAGCAACCACCACUUGUAAUCACUAAACCAAAUGCUUAAUUUCGUUGCCGCUAACUUUCCUGCCAUUUUU